UCUUCAAUAGCUCAGGGGUAGAGCAGAUGGCUGUUAACCAUCGGGCCGUUGGUUCAAAUCCAACUUGGGGAG
Molecule: transfer RNA, 72 nt
Filed under: Auxenochlorella protothecoides
Lineage: Eukaryota; Viridiplantae; Chlorophyta; Trebouxiophyceae; Chlorellales; Chlorellaceae
Rfam family: tRNA
About the family: Transfer RNA (tRNA) molecules are approximately 80 nucleotides in length. Their secondary structure includes four short double-helical elements and three loops (D, anti-codon, and T loops).
Source: Rfam by way of RNAcentral